CCUACGGGAGGCAGCAGUGGGGGAUAUUGCACAAUGGGGGGAACCCUGAUGCAGCGACGCCGCGUGGGUGAAGGAGCGUUUCGGCGCGUAAAGCCCUAUCGGCAGGGAAGAAGGAGGACGGUACCUGACUAAGAAGCCCCGGCUAACUACGUGCCAGCAGCCGCGGUAAUCCGUAGGGGGCAAGCGUUAUCCGGAUUUACUGGGUGUAAAGGGGGCGCAGGCGGCAGCGCAAGCCAGGAGUGAAAGCCCGGGGCCCAACCCCGGGACUGCUCUUGGAACUGCGCGGCUGGAGUGCAGGAGAGGGCGGUGGAACUCAAUGUGUAGCGGUAGAAUGCGUAGAUAUAUGGAAGAACACCAGUGGCGAAGGCGGCCGCCUGGCCUGUUACUGACGCUGAGGCACGAAAGCGUGGGGAGCAAAUAGGAUUAGAUACCCCUGUAGUC
Molecule: ribosomal RNA, 441 nt
Filed under: uncultured bacterium
Lineage: Bacteria
Description: partial 16S ribosomal RNA
Rfam family: Bacterial small subunit ribosomal RNA
Source: RNAcentral